UUUGACGUUACCUACAGAAGAAGCACCGGCUAACUACCGUGCCAGCAGCCGCGGUAAUACGGAGGGUGCGAGCGUUAAUCGGAAUUACUGGGCGUAAAGACGCAUGCAGGCGGCCUCGUUAAGUCAGAUGUGAAAGCCCGGGGCUUAACCUCGGAAUUGCAUUUGAAACUGGCAGGCUAGAGUCUUGUAGAGGGGGGUAGGAAUUUCAGGUGUAGCGGUGAAAUGCGUAGAGAUCUGAAGGAAUACCAGUGGCGAAGGCGGCCCCCUGGACAAAGACUGACGCUCAGAUGCGAAAGCGUGGGGAGCAAACAGGAUUAGAUACCCUGGUAG
Molecule: ribosomal RNA, 330 nt
Filed under: uncultured bacterium
Lineage: Bacteria
Description: bacterial SSU rRNA
Rfam family: Bacterial small subunit ribosomal RNA
Source: RNAcentral